RNAcentral lists this ribosomal RNA (465 nucleotides) under uncultured bacterium. RNAcentral describes it as "partial 16S ribosomal RNA". It matches the Rfam family "Bacterial small subunit ribosomal RNA", at positions 28 to 507 of the family's 1533-position model. The record is from RNAcentral.
GACGAACGCUGGCGGCGUGCUUAACACAUGCAAGUCGAACGGAAAGGCCCUGCUUGCAGGGUACUCGAGUGGCGAACGGGUGAGUAACACGUGGGUGAUCUGCCCUGCACUUCGGGAUAAGCCUGGGAAACUGGGUCUAAUACCGGAUAGGAGCCAUUUUUAGUGUGAUGGUUGGAAAGUUUUUUCGGUGUAGGAUGAGCUCGCGGCCUAUCAGCUUGUUGGUGGGGUAAUGGCCUACCAAGGCGGCGACGGGUAGCCGGCCUGAGAGGGUGGACGGCCACAUUGGGACUGAGAUACGGCCCAGACUCCUACGGGAGGCAGCAGUGGGGAAUAUUGCACAAUGGGCGCAAGCCUGAUGCAGCGACGCCGCGUGGGGGAUGACGGCCUUCGGGUUGUAAACUCCUUUCGCUAGGGACGAAGCUUUCUGUGACGGUACCUAGAGAAGAAGCACCGCCUAACUACGUG